This 94-nucleotide transfer RNA is filed under the name Actinomycetes bacterium. RNAcentral's name for it is "tRNA-Ser". It matches the Rfam family "tRNA". Rfam says of the family: Transfer RNA (tRNA) molecules are approximately 80 nucleotides in length. Their secondary structure includes four short double-helical elements and three loops (D, anti-codon, and T loops). The record is from RNAcentral. RNAcentral also lists the same sequence under 1 other name. Lineage: Bacteria; Bacillati; Actinomycetota; Actinomycetes.
GGAGAAGUCGCCUAGCCCGGUCUAUGGCGCCCGCCUGCUAAGCGGGUUGAGGACCAAAAUCCUCUCGAGGGUUCAAAUCCCUCCUUCUCCGCCA